This 495-nucleotide ribosomal RNA is filed under the name uncultured bacterium. RNAcentral describes it as "partial 16S ribosomal RNA". It matches the Rfam family "Bacterial small subunit ribosomal RNA", at positions 28 to 507 of the family's 1533-position model. The record is from RNAcentral.
GAUGAACGCUGGCGGCGUGCCUAAUACAUGCAAGUCGAGCGAACGGACGAGAAGCUUGCUUCUCUGAUGUUAGCGGCGGACGGGUGAGUAACACGUGGAUAACCUACCUAUAAGACUGGGAUAACUUCGGGAAACCGGAGCUAAUACCGGAUAAUAUUUUGAACCGCAUGGUUCAAAAGUGAAAGACGGUCUUGCUGUCACUUAUAGAUGGAUCCGCGCUGCAUUAGCUAGUUGGUAAGGUAACGGCUUACCAAGGCAACGAGGCAUAGCCGACCUGAGAGGGUGAACGGCCACACUGGAACUGACACGGUCCAGACUCCUACGGGAGGCAGCAGUAGGGAAUCUUCCGCAAUGGGCGAAAGCCUGACGGAGCAACGCCGCGUGAGUGAUGAAGGUCUUCGGAUCGUAAAACUCUGUUAUUAGGGAAGAACAUAUGUGUAAGUAACUGUGCACAUCUUGACGGUACCUAAUCAGAAAGCCACGGCUAACUACGUG